GAUGAAGAACGUAGCGAAAUGCGAUAAUUAAUGUGAAUUGCAGAAUUUAGUGAAUCAUCGAAUCUUUGAACGCACAUUGCGCCCGCCAGUAUUCUGGCGGGCAUGCCUGUCUGAGCGUCAUUUCAACCCUCAUGCCCCUAGGGCGUGGUGUUGGGGAUCGGCCAAAGCCCGCGAGGGACGGCCGGCCCCUAAAUCUAGUGGCGGACCCGUCGUGGCCUCCUCUGCGAAGUAGUGAUAUUCCGCAUCGGAGAGCGAUGAGCCCCUGCCGUUAAACCCCCAACUUUCCAAGGUUGACCUCAGAUCAGGUAGGAAUACCCGCUGAACUUAAGCAUAUCAAUAAGCGGAGGA
RNAcentral lists this unclassified non-coding RNA (348 nucleotides) under soil metagenome. RNAcentral's name for it is "partial contains 5.8S ribosomal RNA, internal transcribed spacer 2, and large subunit ribosomal RNA". The stretch from base 1 to 120 matches the Rfam family "5.8S ribosomal RNA", at positions 35 to 154 of the family's 154-position model. The record is from RNAcentral.